RNAcentral lists this ribosomal RNA (380 nucleotides) under uncultured bacterium. RNAcentral describes it as "bacterial SSU rRNA". It matches the Rfam family "Bacterial small subunit ribosomal RNA", at positions 28 to 407 of the family's 1533-position model. The record is from RNAcentral.
GACGAACGCUGGCGGCGUGCUUAACACAUGCAAGUCGAGCGGUAAGGCCCUUUCGGGGGUACGACGAGCGGCGAACGGGUGAGUAACACGUGGGUGACCUGCCCUCAGCUCUGGGAUAAGCCUGGGAAACCGGGUCUAAUACUGGAUAUGACUCCAUGACGCAUGUUGUGGGGUGGAAAGCCUUGUGCGGCUGAGGAUGGGCCCGCGGCCUAUCAGCUUGUUGGUGGGGUGAUGGCCUACCAAGGCGACGACGGGUAGCCGGCCUGAGAGGGCGACCGGCCACACUGGGACUGAGACACGGCCCAGACUCCUACGGGAGGGCAGCAGUGGGGAAUCUUGCGCAAUGGGCGAAAGCCUGACGCAGCGACGCCGCGUGAGGG